Molecule: ribosomal RNA, 301 nt
Filed under: uncultured bacterium
Lineage: Bacteria
Description: partial 16S ribosomal RNA
Rfam family: Bacterial small subunit ribosomal RNA
Source: RNAcentral
CAGUCGCCGCGGUAAUACGGAGGGUGCAAGCGUUAAUCGGAAUUACUGGGCGUAAAGCGCACGCAGGCGGUCUGACAAGUCAGAUGUGAAAUCCCCGGGCUUAACCUGGGAACUGCAUUUGAAACUGUCAGGCUGGAGUCUUGUAGAGGGGAGUGGAAUUCCAGGUGUAGCGGUGAAAUGCGUAGAGAUCUGGAGGAAUACCGGUGGCGAAGGCGGCCCCCUGGACAAAGACUGACGCUCAGGUGCGAAAGCGUGGGGAGCAAACAGGAUUAGAUACCCGAGUAGUCCCUGUCUCUUAUAC